CUAGCAUAUCAAUAAGCGGAGGAAAAGAAACCAACAGGGAUUGCCUCAGUAACGGCGAGUGAAGCGGCAACAGCUCAAAUUUGAAAUCUGGCCUCCUUGGGGGUCCGAGUUGUAAUUUGUAGAGGAUGCUUCGGCGUGGGCCCCGGUCUAAGUUCCUUGGAACAGGACGUCACAGAGGGUGAGAAUCCCGUACGUGGCCGUGGGUGCUCGCCAUGUGAAGCUCCUUCGACGAGUCGAGUUGUUUGGGAAUGCAGCUCUAAAUGGGAGGUAUAUUUCUUCUAAAGCUAAAUAUUGGCCAGAGACCGAUAGCGCACAAGUAGAGUGAUCGAAAGAUGAAAAGCACUUUGGAAAGAGAGUCAAAAAGUACGUGAAAUUGUUGAAAGGGAAGCGCUUGCAACCAGACCUGUCUGCAGUUGCUCAUCCGGGCUUCUGCCCGGUGCACUCUUCUGCAGUCAGGCCAGCAUCAGUUCUGGCGGUCGGAUAAAGGCGGUGGGAAUGUGGCUCCUCUCGGGGAGUGUUAUAGCCCAUCGUGCAAUGCGGCCAGCUGGGACUGAGGUCCGCGCUUCGGCUAGGAUGCUGGCGUAAUGGUUGUAAGCGGCCCGUCUUGAAACACGGACCAAGGAGUCUAACAUCUGUGCGAGUGUUUGGGUGUCAAGCCCAGGCGCGUAAUGAAAGUGAACGGAGGCGGGAACCUUCGGGUGCACCGUCGACCGAUCCUGAUGUCUUCGGAUGGAUUUGAGUAAGAGCAUAGCUGUUGGGACCCGAAAGAUGGUGAACUAUGCCUGAAUAGGGUGAAGCCAGAGGAAACUCUGGUGGAGGCUCGCAGCGGUUCUGACGUGCAAAUCGAUCGUCAAAUUUGGGCAUAGGGGCGAAAGACUAAUCGAACUAUCUAGUAGCUGGUUCCUGCGGU
This 910-nucleotide ribosomal RNA is filed under the name Rhytidhysteron thailandicum. RNAcentral's name for it is "eukaryotic LSU rRNA". It matches the Rfam family "Eukaryotic large subunit ribosomal RNA", at positions 34 to 964 of the family's 3401-position model. Lineage: Eukaryota; Fungi; Ascomycota; Dothideomycetes; Hysteriales; Hysteriaceae. The record is from RNAcentral.